GGUCUGGAAAGAGAUUAAAGAAAACCCGUAAGUAUGACAUCAUCACCACGCCGGCCGAGCGAGUAGAAAUGGCCCCACUGAAUGAAGAGGAUGAUGAGGACGAGGACUCCACAGUGUUUGACAUCAAAUACAGGUAAAACCAGUUUUCCCAGCAUGUUGGCACCUCACGGACAGUUGGUCAGCGGCCGCCUGGGGAAGGAAGGUUCUGGGAGCUUCUCCCAUCCGAGGUGUUGAAACCUAAACACACGUCAUUUAUGAAACUCCGGCUCCGUUGUGUGUGUCCCGCCUCAGCUCAGUGACACCAUGAAGCCUGCUUCCAAAUCUCCACACGAGAGCCACCUCUGCCACAUUUUGGACACAACCUUUACGACAUUACUGUUCCCUUUCCCUCCUUUGUGAGGUCUUUCUAUGCCUUACGAAGGGGUGAAGGGCAGGAACAUGUUGAUUUUCUAAAAAUAAUAAUUUUUUUAAAGCGACUGUGGACCAUAGAGAAAAAGACCAGCAGGAUAAAGAAUCUAAAAGAAGCCUGAAGAAUAUUCAGCUG
This is a long non-coding RNA of Tupaia belangeri chinensis (Chinese tree shrew), 544 nucleotides long. RefSeq lists it as uncharacterized. The transcript has 2 exons. The record is from RefSeq and is a predicted model, not a curated record. Lineage: Eukaryota; Metazoa; Chordata; Mammalia; Scandentia; Tupaiidae.